GGCUGCACUACACGUAUUUGACACUGCGCCGCCAUUAUACUGUACAAUUAAAUGUUUAGUUUUUAGACUUUGUUAGUAUAGAAAAUUGUAUAAGGAAAAAUCACAGAAGACAUUCUUUCCGUACCAAAUAGGCUAUAAAUUCGUACAAGAAUUAUUUAAUCAAUGGCGUUACAAACCUAUGGAGAUAAGCCUGUGGCUUUUCAGUUGGAGGAAGGCGGCGAAUAUUACUAUGUGGGCUCGGAAGUGGGCAAUUAUAUGCGUUUGUUUCGUGGUAUUUUGUAUAAAAAGUAUCCUGGUAUGACGCGGUUAGUACUCUCAAAUGAAGAGCGUAAAAGGCUCGCUGAUUCUGGCCUGAGUUCGCAUAUAUUGGCCAGUUCAGUAUCUUUGCUACGUGCUGUCGAAGUUGAUGACAUUAUUGCUGGGAACGAUGAAAAAUAUCGAGCGAUAUCGGUUAACACAUCGGAAACACCUCUUCCACGUGAGAGUAAGUCUAAAAAACAACCGCAGUAUGUUCCCACUAUGCCGAAUUCCAGCCAUCUGGACGCAGUUCCACAAGCUACACCAAUCAAUCGCAAUCGGGUUCAUACUAAAAAAGUUCGCACUUUUCCCAUGUGCUUUGAUGAUACCGAUCCAAGUACUAAUAUUGAAAACGCAGCACAAAAGGAAUGUUUAGUACCAAUACGUCUAGACAUGGAAUUGGAGGGACAGAAGUUGCGCGACACAUUCACUUGGAAUAAAAAUGAGAGUAUGAUAACACCAGAACAAUUUGCUGAAGUACUUUGUGAUGAUUUGGAUCUAAAUCCUAUUCCCUUUGUUCCCGCCAUUGCACAGGCAAUUCGACAGCAAAUUGAAGCGUUUCCCAAUGAACCACCAAUACUAGAAGAAAGUAGUGACCAACGUGUUAUUGUUAAACUUAAUAUUCACGUCGGUAAUACCUCCCUUGUUGACCAAGUUGAGUGGGAUAUGUCUGAAAAGAAUAACAAUCCUGAGGAAUUUGCUAUAAAAUUAUGCGCAGAACUUGGUUUAGGAGGAGAGUUCGUAACAGCAAUUGCUUACAGCAUACGAGGCCAAUUGUCCUGGCACUGUCGUACUUAUGCUUUUAGCGAGGCUCCGCUAUCAACCAUCGACGUUCCCUUCCGAAACCCCAGCGAUGCUGAUGCAUGGGCACCAUUCCUUGAAACGUUAACCGAUGCUGAAAUGGAAAAGAAGAUCCGAGAUCAAGAUCGUAAUACGCGCCGUAUGCGCCGCUUAGCCAACACGACUACCGGUUGGUAGACUCGACAGCAUUAGAAUGUAUUACUUAACCGAAAUAUACAUUGCAGAUAUUCCAGUAACAAUUAAAGUCUGUGGAAGGCGAAAACCACGAAAAGGCUGUUGAACUUCUUAAGCAAGCCAUUGGAUCUGUGAAGCUUAUUGUUCGGUACACCCCUAAAGUAUUAGAGGAAAUGGAGUUGCGAUUUGAUAAGCAACGUACCACACGUCGUCGCCAGUGAUUCCGAAAGCGAGAGAACUUUGGUAAAUCGGGCAAAAUAGUUUUAUAA
Molecule: RNA transcript, 1541 nt
Organism: Anastrepha ludens (Mexican fruit fly)
Lineage: Eukaryota; Metazoa; Arthropoda; Insecta; Diptera; Tephritidae
Gene: Snr1
Gene name: SWI/SNF-related matrix-associated actin-dependent regulator of chromatin subfamily B member 1
Exons: 4
Source: RefSeq, a predicted model, not a curated record